This is a long non-coding RNA of Daphnia pulicaria, 1002 nucleotides long. RefSeq lists it as uncharacterized. Lineage: Eukaryota; Metazoa; Arthropoda; Branchiopoda; Diplostraca; Daphniidae. The transcript is spliced from 4 exons. The record is from RefSeq and is a predicted model, not a curated record.
AAGACAGUUGGGUUUGGGCUUGCUUCCACCAUCUUAGCUUUAACUAACACAGAGAUACGUCGGUUAAAAUUGACCGGAAUUGAAUUCCAAACUAAAAACAAUAUGUUAUUCCUACCCUGGCAAAUAAAAUUUAGACGGCAGCAAUUGGCAAAUUAGUACCACACUUACAAAAAGAACGUGACGUACGAAAAAACAGCAAUAGAGUUGGCUUUUGGCUAACGUCUGAAGUUGCCAGUUCGCUGAAAUUGUGAAAAAAAAAAUUGGACGUGAUUACGUGAACUAGUAACAGUUUUUUCAUGGCGGCUUAUGGAGUUUUGACUAGUCUGUAUCACUCUGCCAGAGCUAUAGCUCUGACUGACUGACUCUACUGCAAGUCUGCAAUGUUGAAAAUCACUAUUUUGUGGCAACAUUGUGUUUUGUAGCAGACGAAUUUUUCUUAAGUCUGAUGUUAAUUUAAAGUGGUGAACUGGUGAUUGAACUUGGACGUGUUCUUCGUGAUCGAUGUACUCUGCCCAUCAAGUACCCUUUGCCGGAAGUGAUUAUUAUCCUUCGUGAGCAGAGUCGUUGGAUGAAUUGAGGACUUGCAACGACGUCAUUCUGAAAGAGUUAAAUGUCCGUCCUCUCAAGAAGCUGACCACCGAGAAGAACACGUUUGGAGUUAGCCUUUACGUGCAUAGCUGGAUCAUCACACUGGGGCGUGACUUGAAGGCCAAUUCAAGGCUGUCAUGGCUGCAAAUCCUGCAAUCAAGUCCCUGACAAUGAACAGCUCCAAGGAUUCUUAACCGAAGGUCAGAUCAAUGUUUUGGGAAAUGUUAUGGCUUCCAGAGGAUUUGCAGAUGUUUUACCAGUUCAAUUGUGACGGAGCUGCUGAAUAGGCCCACCAAUAUGAGACUCAAGCAGAAAAGACGUGUUGGUGUUGUUAAAUGUAGUCCAGAAGGUCAAAGCAUUAAGGACGAAGGUUUGGCCCGAGAUUAAUUUGGUCAAAAACAGCGCAGGGAAGCU